RNA transcript from Fragaria vesca subsp. vesca, 400 nucleotides. RefSeq lists it as uncharacterized. The record is from RefSeq and is a predicted model, not a curated record. Lineage: Eukaryota; Viridiplantae; Streptophyta; Magnoliopsida; Rosales; Rosaceae. The transcript has 2 exons.
GAGGUUGAACCUCGAGAGGGGGACCAAGCAGGUUUUCAAAUAAAGAUGUUCACAGAAAAGAGUUGUAGUGGGUUGCUUGUUUUCGUAUUGGAAGCUUUUGAAGAGCUAGGCCUUGAUGUUCUUCAAGCUAGGGUUUCUUGCUCUGGCAAUUUUCUUUUGGAAGCAGUGACCACGAUUAACAAUGAUAACCAAAAUGGUGAUGAUCAUCACAAAGAUGCCGAGGUAGUAAGAGAAGCGAUGUUGCAAGCCAUUCAAAGCUGGAAUGAAGUUUCCCAAUAAGAAAUGCAAACAACUCUCAUCUUCAUUCUUCAUAGCUUGUACCAUUAUCUUAUCUUUUCUGCCAUUACUUCCUCGCCCUCUUGGCCUCUUCACUAGCUAAUGUUUUCUAGCUCUAUCAUAA